GCUAAUACCGCAUACGUCCUACGGGAGAAAGCAGGGGACCUUCGGGCCUUGCGCUAUCAGAUGAGCCUAGGUCGGAUUAGCUAGUUGGUGAGGUAAUGGCUCACCAAGGCGACGAGCCGUAACUGGUCUGAGAGGAUGAUCAGUCACACUGGAACUGAGACACGGCCCAGACUCCUACGGGAGGCAGCAGUGGGGAAUAUUGGACAAUGGGCGAAAGCCUGAUCCAGCCAUGCCGCGUGUGUGAAGAAGGUCUUCGGAUUGUAAAGCACUUUAAGUUGGGAGGAAGGGUUGUAGAUUAAUACUCUGCCUUUUUGUGUUACCGACAGAAUAAGCACCGGCUAACUCUGUGCCAG
This 353-nucleotide ribosomal RNA is filed under the name bacterium. Its description in RNAcentral is "bacterial SSU rRNA". It matches the Rfam family "Bacterial small subunit ribosomal RNA", at positions 162 to 511 of the family's 1533-position model. The record is from RNAcentral.